RNAcentral lists this ribosomal RNA (467 nucleotides) under uncultured bacterium. RNAcentral's name for it is "partial 16S ribosomal RNA". It matches the Rfam family "Bacterial small subunit ribosomal RNA", at positions 28 to 506 of the family's 1533-position model. The record is from RNAcentral.
GACGAACGCUGGCGGCGUGCUUAACACAUGCAAGUCGAACGGAAAGGCCCUGCUUUUGUGGGGUGCUCGAGUGGCGAACGGGUGAGUAACACGUGAGUAACCUGCCCUUGACUUUGGGAUAACUUCAGGAAACUGGGGCUAAUACCGGAUAGGAGCUCCUGCUGCAUGGUGGGGGUUGGAAAGUUUCGGCGGUUGGGGAUGGACUCGCGGCUUAUCAGCUUGUUGGUGGGGUAGUGGCUUACCAAGGCUUUGACGGGUAGCCGGCCUGAGAGGGUGACCGGCCACAUGGGGACUGAGAUACGGCCCAGAUUCCUACGGGAGGCAGCAGUGGGGAAUAUUGCACAAUGGGCGGAAGCCUGAUGCAGCAACGCCGCGUGCGGGAUGACGGCCUUCGGGUUGUAAACCGCUUUCGCCUGUGACGAAGCGUGAGUGACGGUAAUGGGUAAAGAAGCACCGGCUAACUACGU